GAACGCUGGCGGCGUGCUAACACAUGCAAGUCGCGCGUGAAAGGACUUCGGUCCGAGUAAAGCGGCGCACGGGUGAGUAACGCGUGGAUGAUCUACCCAUGAGUUAGGAAUAACGGCUGGAAACGGUCGCUAAUACCAAAUACGCUCCGAUUUCAACUUCGGGGGAAAGGUGGCCUCUGCUUGCAAGCUACUGCUCAUGGAUGAGUCCGCGUCCCAUUAGCUAGUUGGUGGGGUAACGGCCCACCAAGGCGACGAUGGGUAGCCGGUCUGAGAGGAUGACCGGCCACACUGGGACUGGAACACGGCCCAGACUCCUACGGGAGGCAGCAGUGGGGAAUAUUGCGCAAUGGGCGAAAGCCUGACGCAGCGACGCCGCGUGAGGGGAAUGAAGGUCCUCGGAUCGUAAACCUCUGUCAGGAGGGAAGAACCGCCACGGUGCUAAUCAGCCGUGGUCUGACGGUACCUCCAAAGGAAGCACCGGCUAACUCCGUGCCAGCCGCCGC
Molecule: ribosomal RNA, 503 nt
Filed under: uncultured bacterium
Lineage: Bacteria
Description: bacterial SSU rRNA
Rfam family: Bacterial small subunit ribosomal RNA
Source: RNAcentral